GAAAUAGAACCUGAAACCGUGUACGUACAAGCAGUAGGAGCAGGCUUUGUCCUGUGACUGCGUACCUUUUGUAUAAUGGGUCAGCGACUUAUAUUCAGUGGCAAGGUUAACCAUCUAGGGGAGCCGUAGGGAAACCGAGUCUUAACUGGGCGUUCAGUCUCUGGAUAUAGACCCGAAACCAGGUGAUCUAGCCAUGGGCAGGUUGAAGGUUGAGUAACAUCAACUGGAGGACCGAACCGACUAAUGUUGAAAAAUUAGCGGAUGACUUGUGGCUAGGGGUGAAAGGCCAAUCAAACCUGGAGAUAGCUGGUUCUCCCCGAAAGCUAUUUAGGUAGCGCCUCGGACGAAUACUACUGGGGG
This 360-nucleotide ribosomal RNA is filed under the name Vibrio parahaemolyticus. Its description in RNAcentral is "partial 23S ribosomal RNA". It matches the Rfam family "Bacterial large subunit ribosomal RNA", at positions 540 to 902 of the family's 2925-position model. Lineage: Bacteria; Pseudomonadati; Pseudomonadota; Gammaproteobacteria; Vibrionales; Vibrionaceae. The record is from RNAcentral.